CCUUCGGGGUGUAAACCUCUUUCAGUAGGGAAGAAGCGCAAGUGACGGUACCUGCAGAAGAAGCGCCGGCUAACUACGUGCCAGCAGCCGCGGUAAUACGUAGGGCGCAAGCGUUGUCCGGAAUUAUUGGGCGUAAAGAGCUCGUAGGCGGUUUGUCGCGUCCGCUGUGAAAGCCCGGGGCUCAACCCCGGGUCGGCAGUGGGUACGGGCAGACUAGAGUGCAGUAGGGGAGACUGGAAUUCCUGGUGUAGCGGUGAAAUGCGCAGAUAUCAGGAGGAACACCGAUGGCGAAGGCAGGUCUCUGGGCUGUUACUGACGCUGAGGAGCGAAAGCAUGGGGAGCGAACAGGAUUAGAUACCCUGGUAGUCCAUGCCGUAAACGUUGGGCACUAGGUGUGGGGGACAUUCCACGUCCUCCGCGCCGUAGCUAACGCAUUAAGUGCCCCGCCUGGGGAGUACGGCCGCAAGGCUAAAACUCAAAGGAAUUGACGGGGGCCCGCACAAGCGGCGGAGCAUGCGGAUUAAUUCGAUGCAACGCGAAGAACCUUACCAAGGCUUGACAUCCACCGGACCGCACUGGAGACAGUGCUUCCCUUCGGGGCCGGUGGACAGGUGGUGCAUGGUUGUCGUCAGCUCGUGUCGUGAGAUGUUGGGUUAAGUCCCGCAACGAGCGCAACCCUCGUUCUAUGUUGCCAGCACGUGAUGGUGGGGACUCAUAGGAGACUGCCGGGGUCAACUCGGAGGAAGGUGGGGAUGACGUCAAAUCAUCAUGCCCCUUAUGUCUUGGGCUUCACGCAUGCUACAAUGGCCGGUACAAAGGGUUGCGAUACUGUGAGGUGGAGCUAAUCCCAAAAAGCCGGUCUCAGUUCGGAUUGAGGUCUGCAACUCGACCUCAUGAAGUCGGAGUCGCUAGUAAUCGCAGAUCAGCAACGCUGCGGUGAAUACGUUCCCGGGCCUUGUACACACCGCCCGUCAAGUCACGAAAGUUGGUAACACCCGAAGCCGGUGGCCUAACCCCUUGUGGGAGGAGCCU
Molecule: ribosomal RNA, 1032 nt
Filed under: Kocuria flava
Lineage: Bacteria; Bacillati; Actinomycetota; Actinomycetes; Micrococcales; Micrococcaceae
Description: bacterial SSU rRNA
Rfam family: Bacterial small subunit ribosomal RNA
Source: RNAcentral